RNAcentral lists this ribosomal RNA (253 nucleotides) under uncultured bacterium. RNAcentral's name for it is "partial 16S ribosomal RNA". It matches the Rfam family "Bacterial small subunit ribosomal RNA", at positions 524 to 776 of the family's 1533-position model. The record is from RNAcentral.
UACGAAGGGGGCUAGCGUUGUUCGGAAUUACUGGGCGUAAAGCGCACGUAGGCGGAUAUUUAAGUCAGGGGUGAAAUCCCAGAGCUCAACUCUGGAACUGCCUUUGAUUCUGGGUAUCUCGAGUAUGGAAGAGGUGAGUGGAAUUCCGAGUGUAGAGGUGAAAUUCGUAGAUAUUCGGAGGAACACCAGUGGCGAAGGCGGCUCACUGGUCCAUUACUGACGCUGAGGUGCGAAAGCGUGGGGAGCAAACAGG